UUUCCGUAGGUGAACCUGCGGAAGGAUCAUUACUGAGUGCGGGCUGCCUCCGGGCGCCCAACCUCCCACCCGUGACUACCGAACACUGUUGCUUCGGCGGAAGCCUCCCCCCCCGGGAGCGCCCGCCGGAGACCACUGAACUUCUUUGUUUUAAGCAUGAUCUCUGAGCUUGAAUAAGCAAAAUUAAUUAAAACUUUCAACAAUGGAUCUCUUGGUUCCG
This 220-nucleotide unclassified non-coding RNA is filed under the name soil metagenome. RNAcentral's name for it is "partial contains small subunit ribosomal RNA, internal transcribed spacer 1, and 5.8S ribosomal RNA". The record is from RNAcentral.